GCGUCUAGUGUAACGGAUAGCGCUUUUGCCCUUCAAUCUACAGGUCUUGGGUUCGAUUCCACAUGGCGCC
Non-coding RNA from Caenorhabditis brenneri, 70 nucleotides. The record is from the annotation of a GenBank genome assembly. Lineage: Eukaryota; Metazoa; Nematoda; Chromadorea; Rhabditida; Rhabditidae.